CGGACGGGUGAGUAAUGUCUGGGAAACUGCCUGAUGGAGGGGGGAUAACUACUGGAAACGGUAGCUAAUACCGCAUAACGUCGCAAGACCAAAGAGGGGGACCUUCGGGCCUCUUGCCAUCGGAUGUGCCCAGAUGGGAUUAGCUAGUAGGUGGGGUAACGGCUCACCUAGGCGACGAUCCCUAGCUGGUCUGAGAGGAUGACCAGCCACACUGGAACUGAGACACGGUCCAGACUCCUACGGGAGGCAGCAUG
RNAcentral lists this ribosomal RNA (254 nucleotides) under uncultured bacterium. RNAcentral's name for it is "partial 16S ribosomal RNA". It matches the Rfam family "Bacterial small subunit ribosomal RNA", at positions 99 to 353 of the family's 1533-position model. The record is from RNAcentral.